UUGGAGGGCAAGUCUGGUGCCAGCAGCCGCGGUAAUUCCAGCUCCAAUAGCGUAUAUUAAAGUUGUUGCAGUUAAAAAGCUCGUAGUUGAAUUUCAGGGUUUGUCUAUCGGUCGGGCUUCACUGUCCGCACUGAUUUGAUGGAUCCUUACCUUCUGAAUAACCAUCAUGCCAUUAAUUUGGUGCGUUGGGGAAGCAGAGCUAUUACCUUGAAAAAAUUAGAGUGCUUAAAGCAGGCCAGUGCUUGAAUAGAUUAGCAUGGAAUAAUAAAAUAGGACGGCAUGGUUCUAUUUUGUUGGUUUCUAGGAUCACCGUAAUGAUUAAUAGGGAUAGUUGGGGGCAUUAGUAUUCAAUUGUCAGAGGUGAAAUUCUUGGAUUUAUUGAAGACUAACUACUGCGAAAGCAUUUGCCAAGGAUGUUUUCAUUAAUCAAGAACGAAAGUUAGGGGAUCGAAGACGAUCAGAUACCGUCGUAGUCUUAACCAUAAACUAUGCCGACUAGGGAUCGACGAGUAUAAU
Molecule: ribosomal RNA, 516 nt
Filed under: uncultured Acaulospora
Lineage: Eukaryota; Fungi; Glomeromycota; Glomeromycetes; Diversisporales; Acaulosporaceae
Description: SSU rRNA
Rfam family: Eukaryotic small subunit ribosomal RNA
Source: RNAcentral